RNAcentral lists this ribosomal RNA (1268 nucleotides) under 'Carica papaya' phytoplasma. RNAcentral's name for it is "bacterial SSU rRNA". It matches the Rfam family "Bacterial small subunit ribosomal RNA", at positions 185 to 1452 of the family's 1533-position model. The record is from RNAcentral. Lineage: Bacteria; Bacillati; Mycoplasmatota; Mollicutes; Acholeplasmatales; Acholeplasmataceae.
AAGGCAUCUUUUUAUUUUUAAAAGACCUUUUUCGGAAGGUAUGCUUAAAGAGGGGCUUGCGUCACAUUAGUUAGUUGGCAGGGUAAAGGCCUACCAAGACUAUGAUGUGUAGCUGGACUGAGAGGUUGAACAGCCACAUUGGGACUGAGACACGGCCCAAACUCCUACGGGAGGCAGCAGUAGGGAAUUUUCGGCAAUGGAGGAAACUCUGACCGAGCAACGCCGCGUGAACGAUGAAGUAUUUCGGUAUGUAAAGUUCUUUUAUUGAAGAAGAAAAAAUAGUGGAAAAACUAUCUUGACGAUAUUCAAUGAAUAAGCCCCGGCAAACUAUGUGCCAGCAGCCGCGGUAAUACAUAGGGGGCGAGCGUUAUCCGGAAUUAUUGGGCGUAAAGGGUGCGUAGGCGGUUUAAUAAGUCUAUAGUUUAAUUUCAGUGCUUAACACUGUCCUGCUAUAGAAACUAUUAGACUAGAGUGAGAUAGAGGCAAGUGGAAUUCCAUGUGUAGCGGUAAAAUGCGUAAAUAUAUGGAGGAACACCAGAGGCGUAGGCGGCUUGCUGGGUCUUUACUGACGCUGAGGCACGAAAGCGUGGGGAGCAAACAGGAUUAGAUACCCUGGUAGUCCACGCCGUAAACGAUGAGUACUAAGUGUCGGGAUUACUCGGUACUGAAGUUAACACAUUAAGUACUCCGCCUGAGUAGUACGUACGCAAGUAUGAAACUUAAAGGAAUUGACGGGACUCCGCACAAGCGGUGGAUCAUGUUGUUUAAUUCGAAGAUACACGAAAAACCUUACCAGGUCUUGACAUACUCUGCAAAGCUAUAGCAAUAUAGUGGAGGUUAUCAGGGAUACAGGUGGUGCAUGGUUGUCGUCAGCUCGUGUCGUGAGAUGUUAGGUUAAGUCCUAAAACGAGCGCAACCCUUGUCAUUAGUUGCCAGCAUGUCAUGAUGGGCACUUUAAUGAGACUGCCAAUGAAAAAUUGGAGGAAGGUGAGGAUCACGUCAAAUCAUCAUGCCCCUUAUGAUCUGGGCUACAAACGUGAUACAAUGGCUGUUACAAAGAGUAGCUGAAACGCAAGUUUAUAGCCAAUCUCAUAAAAGCAGUCUCAGUUCGGAUUGAAGUCUGCAACUCGACUUCAUGAAGUUGGAAUCGCUAGUAAUCGCGAAUCAGCAUGUCGCGGUGAAUACGUUCUCGGGGUUUGUACACACCGCCCGUCAAACCACGAAAGUUGGUAAUACUCAAAAACGGUAGCCUAACUUCUUCGGAAGAG